This 378-nucleotide ribosomal RNA is filed under the name uncultured bacterium. Its description in RNAcentral is "partial 16S ribosomal RNA". It matches the Rfam family "Bacterial small subunit ribosomal RNA", at positions 338 to 732 of the family's 1533-position model. The record is from RNAcentral.
CCUACGGGUGGCUGCAGUAGGGAAUAUUGCACAAUGGGGGAAACCCUGAUGCAGCAACGCCGCGUGAAGGAAGACGGUUUUCGGAUUGUAAACUUCUGUUCUUAGUGAAGAAUAAUGACGGUACCUAAGGAGUAAGCCCCGGCUAACUACGUCCCAGCAGCCGCGUUAAUACGUAGGUGGCAAGCGUUGUCCGGAAUUACUGGGUGUAAAGGGCGCGCAGGCGGGAAGCCAAGUCAGAUGUGAAAACUACGGGCUUAACUUGUAGACUGCAGUUGAAACUGGUAUUCUAGAGUGAAGUAGAGGUUGGCGGAAGUCUGGGUGUAGCGGUGAAAUGCGUAGAGAUUAGGAGGAACACCGGUGGCGAAGGCGGCCUACUAG